UACGGAGGGUGCAAGCGUUAUCCGGAUUCACUGGGUUUAAAGGGUGCGUAGGAGGGCAGGGAAGUCAGUGGUGAAAUCCCGGGGCUUAACCCCGGAACUGCCGUUGAUACUCUCUGUCUUGAAUGCCGUGGAGGUGAGCGGAAUAUGUCAUGUAGCGGUGAAAUGCUUAGAGAUGACAUAGAACACCGAUUGCGAAGGCAGCUCGCUACACGAACAUUGACUCUGAGGCACGAAAGCGUGGGGAUCAAACAGG
This 253-nucleotide ribosomal RNA is filed under the name uncultured bacterium. Its description in RNAcentral is "partial 16S ribosomal RNA". It matches the Rfam family "Bacterial small subunit ribosomal RNA", at positions 524 to 776 of the family's 1533-position model. The record is from RNAcentral.